This 592-nucleotide ribosomal RNA is filed under the name Wolbachia endosymbiont of Bemisia tabaci. RNAcentral describes it as "bacterial SSU rRNA". It matches the Rfam family "Bacterial small subunit ribosomal RNA", at positions 220 to 829 of the family's 1533-position model. Lineage: Bacteria; Pseudomonadati; Pseudomonadota; Alphaproteobacteria; Rickettsiales; Anaplasmataceae. The record is from RNAcentral.
CUUAGAUGAGCCUAUAUUAGAUUAGCUAGUUGGUGGAGUAAUAGCCUACCAAGGCAAUGAUCUAUAGCUGAUCUGAGAGGAUGAUCAGCCACACUGGAACUGAGAUACGGUCCAGACUCCUACGGGAGGCAGCAGUGGGGAAUAUUGGACAAUGGGCGAAAGCCUGAUCCAGCCAUGCCGCAUGAGUGAAGAAGGCCUUUGGGUUGUAAAGCUCUUUUAGUGAGGAAGAUAAUGACGGUACUCACAGAAGAAGUCCUGGCUAACUCCGUGCCAGCAGCCGCGGUAAUACGGAGAGGGCUAGCGUUAUUCGGAAUUACUGGGCGUAAAGGGCGCGUAGGCUGAUUAAUAAGUUAAAAGUGAAAUCCCGAGGCUUAACCUUGGAAUUGCUUUUAAAACUAUUAAUCUAGAGAUUGAAAGAGGAUAGAGGAAUUCCUGAUGUAGAGGUAAAAUUCGUAAAUAUUAGGAGGAACACCAGUGGCGAAGGCGUCUAUCUGGUUCAAAUCUGACGCUGAAGCGCGAAGGCGUGGGGAGCAAACAGGAUUAGAUACCCUGGUAGUCCACGCUGUAAACGAUGAAUGUUAAAUAUGGGAAG